GCGGAUCUGGUGUACGGUGCACUGCUGCUCUCUAUUCAAGUCUUCAAAGAAGAAUUGAGCAGCAAUAAGGGGUUCGACUCCCCUUGUCCGCA
Mycena leptocephala is the source of this 92-nucleotide non-coding RNA. The record is from the annotation of a GenBank genome assembly. Lineage: Eukaryota; Fungi; Basidiomycota; Agaricomycetes; Agaricales; Mycenaceae.